GCGCCCAGAGUGGGCCAAAGGAGCGAAGGGGACUCGGCCGCCAUGUUAGGAGUGCCGGGAACAGUCGGCGGAGCCUGGCCGAGGUUUUAGGCAGCGCGCGAGCCGAUUGGUGGUGCGGUGGGGACGGUGAGGCGGAGGAUAAACCGGUUGGAGAGCCUAGGGCCCAAACCUGGGGACCCGGGUGUGGACGCGGCAACUGGGGACAUUGUAGGGCGGAUCCGGCUGGAGGCAGUAUCAAGAGGUUGACUGGGCCUCGGCCUUACGGUCCAGCAGGUUGUAUAGGCGCCCUACCCGUCCUGGUCCUUUUCCUUACCAAGGGAUUGAGGGAGUCAGUUUACUUCUGGGCCCAGAGCGUCACUUAGGCACGCUAGCAGGACCCUUGGAGCGCUUGGCGUCCUUGUUGGGGUGCGGAGACCCGGGACGGCGACCCUUCACACUUCGGUCGGAGAAGCCAGCUUCCACCCACGGAAUUGGGUUGUACCUCCCGAUUUUAUUUUUAUCUUUUUGUCACUUAUAUUCCAACCUUCCUUACUCCUCCGCAAGGUUUCGGACCCUCAUUGGUUUUUCAUACAAGAAUGACUUGCCGAAAGAAAUCGAUUUUGGCUCUAGUAGCCAACCUGGAAAGGGACGGUGCUUUGGCGCCCCAAUUAAGAAAAGACUAAGGUCUAAAGGAGUAACAGCCGGUUUAAAGUGCCAGGGGUAUUAUUGAUGAUAGCCCUAUUGACCGCUGGCGGUCGGUUCCGAAGUAACGUGGGUUCCUGGAUAGACUGAGUGUAGAUACUGAGAAGGCAGGAUGUUCAUUAGCAUGGAUCACCAACUUAUUUUAAAAAUACAGUUAGUGUUUAAUUUGUGGUACUCAAUAUAUACAAUUACCUUAAGAACUAAUUAUUUUUAACUAACUGAAACCAAAGUUACUGGUCUUUAAGUUACUUUGCUCAGUAUCUCAAAUGAACUGUAUUUUUUUUCCAGUUGUGUUACUAAAACAAUGCUGUGUAUCUGUUCUUUUUCAGAGUCUACACUAUGAAAGAUGGAAAAUUUCUUUUCCUCCUGAGGGUGUCUGAAGGGUUAAAAAUGCGAUAUAUUUAUGUUUUUCUCCCUCCCUUUUGCACAGUUAUUCUGAAGACAAAAUUAACUUGUUACUUUGGGUCAUUAAGGAUAUGCAUUUCACCUCUCUGUUAGUAGUUAGUAAUAUUACAGCUGAUGGAUGGAUUCUCCUAUCCGGAAAAGCUAGGCAGAGUGAUUGAAAAUAAUAAAACAUGGUAGAAACAGUCUUUCAGAUGUAUACAGAUGAUAACUACAAAAACAGAAGAAUCAUCGUCUGUCAUGUUUCUGGACACAAGUCACAAGAUGAAAGGCUUUGUUUCAUUUUUGACAAAGGUGAUAUAAUAUGUGUUGGUCUCAUCCAUGCAGUACAAACUGGGAAAGGUUCAUACAAAUAUUUCUGUUAUUCAGAAACACCUUUGCAAGUAAUUGUGGUGUACAAGUAUGGGAAAAUCACACCAUGCCUCCCACCCCUAUCCUGGAUAACAUAUCCCUACAAUAAGAUCUCAUUUCAGUAAAUAUUACAAGUAGCAUUAGAGAGGGGAAGAAGGGAAGGAAGAUGUGUGUGGCUUCCAAUUGGUAAGUGAAGGGAAAGGAACUAACAGUUGAGGACCUACUAUGUGCUAGGUACCUUGUAUGUGCCUAUCUUCUUUAGGUCAUUGAUUAAAACAGACAGGAAGGGAGCCUAUUUAUCUUGAUAACAAAAAGGAAAAAAUUCUUUCGUCCCACAAAUCAUUGGAAUUAUUCAGAAUAUAUAUUUUUUCAUGUCUUUCUCCCAUAUGAGGGCACAAACAGCACGGCGCUUCUGCAUAGUGUUUGGCAAAUAUUUAUUGAAUGAAUAGGGACUUUUCUCAUGUCCUUAGAAUAGUGGUUCUUUGGGUCCAUGGACCUCUAAGAAUUUUAUAAAGGCUAUGGACCCACCUAGGAUGUCUCCUCUCUCACUACCCAAACACAACAAAAUAAAAAACAGCCAACUCCCUCUCCUUGCCCUAAGUACCUCCAUGUCUGUAUUUGUGCAAAAUCCAUAAUUUUGGAAUGUUUUCUGCCUUUCUGCAAUUUAUUCAUGUGUCCCAGGUUAAGAACUCAGGCCUGGAAACAUCUCUGGAUAUCUAGACAGCCUAGGAGCUUAAUUACAUUAACUUGUAAUGCUUAUAGAGUUGUCAUCUUUAUUGGUCCUUUAUAGGUUUGAGAAAAUCGCACCAUGCUUCCUGACUGUUCAGUUUGUUUUGUUUGUUUUUUUAUGAGCAGAAAUUAUAUCCAACUUGCUUUUUGGUUCAUUAAUAUGUGCUACAACCAAAGAUCAUUAUAUUUUUAAGAUUUUUGAAGUAGGAAUUGUUUAAUUGUACAGAUGAAGAAAUUAGGUUUGUCCCAAAGUUUAUUUUAUGUGAGUAUCAUAUCUCUGGCUUUCUAAAUGGAAUGAUUUCCCUCCCUCCCUUCCUCCCUCCCUCCCUCCUUUCAUUCCUUCCUUCCUUCCUUCGUCCCUCCCUCUUUCUUCCCUUCCCUUCCCUUCCCUUCCCUUUCCUUCCCUUCCCUUCCCUUCCCUUCCCUUCCCUUCCCUUUCCUUCAAUACUUCUCAUUCAGAAACCCACUUAAAGUAUUGUUAGGCCAGUGUCCUCAUCUGUGAAAUUUCAUCUGGGUAGAGAAAGAUGGUGAAAAGAAAUGACCUUGUCUCAUAAGGGAAGACAAUGACUUGUAAAACAAAUAUUCUAAGUAAUUCCAAAUAUGGUAUGAGAACUCCCCCAUAAAGUUGUGAGAAUCAAAUUGGUUGAAGGAAAACAGUGUUGUGUAAACUCUACAGUUUUCUGAACACAACUGGCCCUUACCUUGAUAUAAAAUCCAGGGUCUAGUACAGAGAAGUUAUUUGGAUGCUUAUCUAAUUUCCAAUAUCUCCUGUGCUUUUACUUGACAGCAAGACAGCAUCUCAUCCAGGCUUGUGAUAGAGGAAAAUUGAGUUAUUAUUAUUAUUAUAUUUUUAAAGUGAAAAAUAGGGAGUUUGUCGAUCAAAUGGACUAGUAUUUUAAGCACUUAUUAUGUGCCAGGAGCUUUUUAAUUUCUGGGUGAAGAAUAACAGAGUCUCCAUUGUACACUUACCCCAGGCUAUAUACAGAGUUAUAGCUAACAUUUGAGUGCUUACUGUAAGCAAAAGCAUUGUUCCAGGUGCAUUUGCAUUUAUUUCAUUCACAUGUUUCUCAAUCUUUGUAAUAACUCAGUAAAAUACUGUUAACAUUGUCAUCACCAACAAUAAGAAAACUGGAAUUUAAAGAGAUUAGACAGUUUGCCCAACAAUGUUGCAAAGCUGAGACUUUGAACCCUGGCUGAUUUGACUCUGAAGUCUGUACUCCAUUCCAGUACACUACCAAAGCUUCUAGCAUAUAACCAUUAAUCUUUGCAAUCAUUUGCGAAGUCCAUAUGGCUGUCCAUAGUGGGGGAGGCCAUAAAUGUGGGACUAAGGGGGAGUUACUGAGCCUUUUCUGAGAGAAGUGGUACCUUCCCCCACAAACAAGUUUCUUGUGCUGAAAUCAGGUUGGAAAGAUAAAAAAGGUUGAAGAAGGUGGAGGUGGCAUGGUUGAACCUGUUCAGGAACUGAUUACAUCUGAGCCUCUGGCCCUUUUGCCUGCCAGCUGACUCAGAGCUGGCUGAUGGGCCAAAGCCCAGGCAGGUUAAUUUCAUGGGCUGUAUACUUCAAAGGAUCUGAUUCCUGGCACUGCUAUGCACGUUGUUUUUCAGAGGGCAGAACCUUAUGGGGGAGGGAACAGGAUGGCCUCAAGGAAGUGUUUGCAAAAGACCAAGGCAGUAUUUGCUCUAAAUCCAAAUAUACACAGCUUGUUCUAGGUUUAGCAAUAAAAAACACAAGAUCAGACCUAAGCAUGGCUUAAAAUUGGGUAUUUAAAUCUUAAGUAUUCCUCUGCAGUAAAUACAGCAUUUAAGAAUAUGAAUCCUAGAGUUAGACCUCGAUUUCAAUAUUGGCUCUACCACUCUCCUGUGAAUAAAUUGAUUACUAGGCCUCAGUUUUCUCAUGUGCGAAAUGGGGAUUAAGUACCUACUUCAUAUACUUGUUGUGAAGGUUAAAGUGAGUAUAAAGCAUAUGUCACAGUACCUGAGACAUAGUAAAUUCUCUUGAAAAACAGUCAUUCAGAGAAAACUCGUAUUUUAUAAGAAUCUCUGGGCUUAAAUUAAUUGAUUUAUUUUUCUUUUACUUAACACAUUCAAAAAGCAUUUAUUAUUGUAUUCAGUGGCAGGGAUGCUGAAAACAGUAACAACUUUUGUUGAACAUGUAAAAUGAGCCAAAUAUUUUUAAAAACAUAUUUUCUCAUUUAAUGUGCCCUACAAAGUAUUUUCCUACCUUAUUAAUGAGACCCUAGGUUGAGAGAAGUUCAGUAGCAUGAUUAAGAUUGUAUAGUCAGCAACUGUAACUCCAAAACCUAUGAAUAAAAUAGACUUUAUCCCCAUUGGAACAUAUUAUUCAGCAAGCAGUCAGACACAUGAACAAAUAUCUACAUUCAAAGUGAUGUUAUUGAGGUUUAUACUACAUGAUUGGGAGCAGAGAACAGGGAAGGUGAACCGGGCAGGGGUGUGCCUGGGUGGAAUAAGGUUCAUCAUCUUCACAGGAAUAAAUAAAUAAUAGUGGGGCUUUUGCUAGUAGAGGAGGGGUUUCAAGAGAGGUCUUUCUGUGUCUCCAAGUCACAGAUUAUGUUGUUUACUUGAAGUGGAAUGGUAGGAGUUAUAUACAAAUAAUGUCUGUUUGCAUCAGAAGUAUCUGUACCUCCUUGGGCUUUGUAACUGAACUAACAAUAAUAGCAACUAAUUCCUAUUGCAUGAUCAUUAGAUACUAGUCACUACUGUGUUCACAGGCAAGAACUCUCUUAUUUUUAGAAAGGGAGAGAGGAGAGAGAAGGGGCAGAGGGAGAGAGACUAUUGUACAGCAUGGAGCCCAACUCAAUCUCACAACCCUGAGAUCCUGACCUGAGCCAAAAUCAAGAGUUGGGUGCUUACCCGACUGAGCCAUGCAGGUACCCCUCACAGAGCAGAACUUUUAACUAGAGAAAGGUGGAAAGACUUUGUCUAAACCAAUAAUCUCAAAUUAAGUACACUUAAUUUGGGUAAAUACCCCCAAUAUAUGUAUAUUACUUCCUAGUAUAAGAUGUCCACUAUGAAAUGCAGAUAUACAACCAAAAAUUGUAAGGGAUGAAAUGAAGUUGAAAUAAACUAUUUUAUCUCAGGGCAAAAUAUUCUUGGGAUUCUGCAUGUUGUUAUUAAUAGUGGAUAUAAAUUAAUAUUUCAAAUAGGCUACUUAAUAGUUUUGGAUUUUUUUUGGUCAUUUGUCAGUUUUGAUUAAAUGAUCAUUGUAUUUACGAUCAUAAUAUGACUGAUACUAAGUAGAAGUGUCAGUUCUGCCAAUUUUUUGGUCCUCUUAUGUAUCAUCUUCAAUUCAGAGUUUUUCUAAAGCAAUCUUUUUAAAUCAAUUGUUUAUUUUGUGAGAUUUAAUUUAGCAAAAAUUAGACUAGAAAAAAUCCAUAAAUCCUCUUUUUUAAAAAAGAUUUAUUUAUUUAUUUUAGAGAGAGAGAGAGCGUGUGCACAGGGGUGAGGGGCAGAGGGAGAGAAAAGAGAGAAUCUCAAGCAGACUCCCCGCUGAGCACAGAGCCUGACUCGGAGCUCCAUCCCACGACCUACAUCAUGACCUGAGCCAAAAUCAAGAGUGGGACGUUUAACCAACUGAACCACUUAGGUGCCCCUAAAUCCUCUUUGGAACUGCAAUAUGUCACUAAAUUCUGAAAGUGAAAGAACUCCCAUUCACACUUCAUGUGAGCACUAAAUAUAGGGACAAUGUGGAGAUGCCAAACUCAGUCUAUAUUAAUAGAGGUUAAUUUUUUUUUUAUGAAUAAGAAACAUGUAUAAGAAAAACUCUUGUCACACCUCAGAUUGCCUUGCAUACCUGUAGAGUGAGCACACUCCAUUUUGUAGGUCAGUGGUCUAAGCAACAGGACCUGUGGCCAUGAAGUGGGAAUAUCCAAUCUUAUCUUCAGCAAUGACUGAUCCAGAUUCAUUUAUGAAUGACAAAUGAGAAGGGCACAAUAUGACUUCUCAGGAAAUCAGAAGAGCUCAGCAGAGCUGGAACUUUGAGAAUGUGGCCUGUCUGUACAAAGGCAGAGCCUAUAUUCUUUAAGUGCUUCAAAGAAAUACAUUCUAGUUUUGAAGAAAAUGUCAGUACUACUUACGCUUAAUCCCAGUUCGGCUAUUUACUAGCCAUGCAAUUUGGGGAAAGCAGCAACCUCUUGUAGUUUGUUUCUCAUCUCUGAAAUAAGAAUGAUUAAUGCCAGUAUUUACCUCACUAAGAAGUUUAAUGUGAUACUAUUGAACCCUCACUAUGUGCAGAGAUGCUGAGCUAAACUAUUUACAAGAAUUCUUUUAGUCUUCAUGAUACACUAGGGUGGUAGAAGCUAACUAAUUUUUCACUAAAACAUUUUCCUUUUCAGGGCACCUGGGUGGCUCAGUUGGUUAAUCAUCUGCGUUCAGCUCAGGUCAUGAUCCCAGGGUCCUGGGAUAGAGCCAAACAUCGGACUCCCUGCUCAGCGGGGAGUCUGCUUCUCCCUCUCCCUCUGCAGCUCCCCCUGCUUAUGCUCUCUCUCUGUCAAAUAAAUAAAUAAAAUCUUAAAAAAAAUUUUUCCUGUUCUUCCUGGGCACACAAAAGGACUACAUUUCCUUGCAGCCACAUUGUUUUGUGCUGGCCGGUGAAAAAUGAGCAGCAGUGAUCAACAUCACCUUCAGGCCUGGCCCAUGAAACUUGCCCUUCUAAUUCUCCAUGCUCUCUUCUCUCAUCUGGGAGAGGAUCCAGCAAAACCAGUAGUGCAAGGGCCUGUCUUUUUCUCCCCCCACCUCCAACUUUACUGGAUUGUGAUAUGAACUAGAAAUAAACUCUUAAUUGUGUUAAGUCAUUGAGAUGUGGGGGUUAUUUGUCAUAGCAGUUAACGUAUCCUGACUAAUACAACAAGAUUUGACAAGAACCCAGAGAAGGGAGAGAUAAAUUGUUUACAGUGUCUGGCACAUGAUGUACAAUAAAAAAGUUGAUUAACCUCAUUAAGAAACAUGAAGGUUACUUUUAGGAGAGGGCUUAUGAGCAACUAUCUAAAACUCCUCUGGAUAGAGUGUGAGAAAAUGUCAGGAAUCACUGACAUACACUCUGGUUUCCAAAGCUUUUCAUAGAUACCACUGGGCAGACCUCAAGAAAUAGAGAUACCAGUCCUGCAGUACCUCAUACUCUGUAGCCUGCUAAAUCAGUUCAGCACAUUUCCCUAAGUUUUAUAAAAAUAUGUAAUAAGUACAAAUACAUUUUUUAAUCAUGUACUGGGAAGCCUUCAUCUUUUUUAUUUAUUUUUUUUUUUAGAUUCUAUUUAUUUACUUGAGAGAGAGAGAGAGCGAGCGGGGUUGUAGUGGGGAGAAGCAGAGGGAGAGGGACAAGCAGACUCCAUGCUAAGCCCAGAGCCUGACUCAGGGCUUCAUCUCAGGAUCCUAAGAUCAUGACCUGAGCCGAAAUCAAGAGUCAGGUGCUCAACUGAUUAAGCCACCCAGGCACCCCUCCUUCCUCCAUCUUGAUUAAGUUUUCCUCAUUUAUUCAAAUUCAAGAGCUAAAAUGUGUGUUUUAGAUUUCUCUCAAGUUACUCUCAAGUCAUUUCUCUCUGAGUAGUUUCCUUUGCUCUAACACAUUUUCUGGACAUUAUAGUACUUAGCUGGAGCUGUAUUUUUAAUCUUGAGAAAUUUAAUUCCUAUAAUUUGGCCUUGGUCUCUGAAUGAUCUCAUAUCAUAUUUUUUUAUGUAGUAACUACUAUUGUAUUUUCCUCUUCCUCCUUCAUACUUAUUUGGCAAAGUUGAUUCCUAUGGAAUUGCACGGAUAACUACUUAGGCUCCUGGCUUCACAUUUACUCCUCAAAUGCAGAUAAAUUAUUUCUUCUUGACUUUGGUGAAUUAGAAUAGUAGCACAGCCUUCCAAGACAUUUUGUUGCUAUUAUCCUUAUCAAAUUCCUCCCCUCAGUCUUAUAUUUUCAAAACAUUCUGGAGGUAGGCAAUUGGUUUUGAAGCCUUGAUAAAUGGUCACAGAAGCUAUGUGGCUUAGAGGAAGCAAACAGGCUUUGUGUGCAGACAAACUUGAUUUCCAACCCCGGCAUAGCCACCAACUAGCUAUAUAUGACGUUGGUCAGUUAUUCAACUUUUUAAGAGUUACAACUAAAAUGGAGAUGGUAAAACCCACAUUACAAAGGUAAGUGGGAUAUAUAGGCUAAUUUCACUUUUGAAUAUGGAUACAAUAAUCUUAAAUACUAGCAAACCAAAUCCAAAAUAUACCUCAUAACCAUUUAUUUAUAUCAAGAAUGUAAGUUUGGUUUAAUAUUUUUUUUAAGAUUUUAUUUAUUUAUUUGAGAGAGGGAAUGAGAGAGAGAGAGAGCACAUGAGAGGGGGGAGGGUCAGAGGGAGAAGCAGACUCCCCGCCGAGCAGAGAGCCCGAUACGGGACUCGAUUCCGGGACUCCAGAAUCAUGACCUGAGCCGAAGGCAGUCGCUUAACCAACUGAGCCACCCAGGCGCCCAGUUUGGUUUAAUAUUUUUAAAAAUCAAAAUGUAGUUUAUAUCUUAACUGAUUGAUGGGAUAAACACAUUACAAUAGAUAAAGAAAAAUUUUUGAUAAAAUUUAACAUCCAUUCAUAAAAACAAAACUUCUGCCAAAGUGGAAUAGAAGAGAACCUCUUAAAUUGACAAAGUAUAGCUAUUUUAAAAAUUAUGCUUAAAGAAGCAAAAGCUUUCUUAAAUUGAUAAAGGAUAACUUUAAAAAAGUAUAUCAUACUUAAUGGUUAAAAGACAAAUAAGUGGAGCCCCUGGGUGGCUCAGUCAGUUAAGCAUCCAACUUGUGAUUUCAGCUCAGGUCAUGAGCUCAUGGGUUAUGAGAUCCAGCCCCACAUCGGGCUCCAUGUCUGUCUGAGAUUCUCUCCUUCUUCCUCUCCCUCUGCCCCUCCCCCCAUUCUCUCUUUCAAAUAAAUAAAUCUUUAAAAAAAAAGAUGAUACAUGUCUUUCUCUGAUUGACUUAUUUCGCUCAGCAUAAAACAUGUAUCAUAUGAUCUCACUGAUAUGAGGAAUUUUUUUUAAAGAUUUUAUUUAUUUAUUUGACAGAGAGAGUGAGAGAGCACAAGCAGGGGGAGCAGUAGAAGGAGAGGGAGAAGCAGGCUUCCUGCUGAGCAAGGAGCCCGAUGCAGGGCUUGAUUCCAGGACCCUGGGAUCAUGAUCUGAGUGGAAGGCAGACGCUUAACCAUCUGAGCCACCCAGGCGCCCCUUGAUAUGAGGAAUUAUUAAUCUCAGGAAACACACUGAGGGUUGCUGGAGUGGUUGGGGGGGGGAUGGGGUGGCUGGGUGAUAGACAUUGGGGAGGGUAUGUGCUAUGGUGAACACUGUGAAUUGUGUAAGACUGUUGAAUCACAGACCUGUACCUCUGAAACAAAUAAUACAUUAUAUGUUAAAAAAAAAAAAAAAGAUAGUAGGAAGGGAAAAAUGAAGGGGGGGAAAUCGGAGGGGGAGACAAACCAUGAGAGACUAUGGAUGCUGAGAAACAAACUGAGGGUUCUAGAGGGGAGGGGGUGGGGGGAUGGGUUAGCCUGGUGAUGGAUAUUAAAGAGGGCACGUACUGAAUGGAGCACUGGGUGUUAUAUGCAAACAAUGAAUCAUGGAACACUACAUCAAAAACUAAUGAUGUAAUGUAUGGUGAUUAACAUAAUAAAAUAAAAAACCAAAAACAAACAAACAAAAAGAUGAAAAGUUUCCCUUUGAGGUCAAGAAUAAGAGACUUCUUGGAUGCCUGUCUGGCUUAGUUGGUAGAGCAUGUGACUCUUCAUCUUGGAAUUGUGAGUCGAGCCCCAUGUUGGAUGUGGAGAUUACUUUUAUUUUUAUUUUUUUUAAGAUUUUAAUUUUAAGUAAUCUCUACACCCAACAUGGGGCUCAAACUCACAAACCCAAGAUGAAGAGUCACACACUCUACCAACUGAGCCAGCCAGGCACCCCAGAGAUUACUUUUAAAUAAAUAAAUAAAUAAAUAAAUAAAUAAAUAAAUAAAUAAAUAAAUAAAUAAAAAUAAUAUAAUUUUUAAAAAAGAAUAAGAAACUUCUUUUACUUAUCAUUGUCCUGGAGAUCCUAGCCAGCUAAGGAGAAAAAAAUUUAAAUGAUAGAUAGAUGAGAGAGAGAGAGAUAGAUAUUCAGGAGGAAAGAAAAUCCAAAACAACUACAUAUAGAUUAUUAAAAUUUAAAAAGAGCUUGGAAGGGGCGCCUGGGUGGCUCAGUCGUUAAGCGUCUGCCUUCAGCUCAGGUCAUGGUCUCAGGGCCCUGGGAUGGAGCCCCACAUCCAGCUCCCUGCUCUGUGGGAAGCCUGCUUCUCCCUCUCUCACUCCCCCUGCUUGUGUUCCCUCUCUCACUGUGUCUCUCUCUGUCAAAUGAAUAAAAUCUUUAAAAAAAAUAAAAAAUAAAAAGAGCUUGGGAAGUUCAUUGGAUACAAGACUAAUAAUAUAUAAAAAUCAAUUACAUUUUAUAUAUCACAAAUAUAUAUAGUUUUUUAAAAGUAUCUGAAAUAGACAACUUACAAUUAAACACUAAAAAUACCAAGAGCCUAGGAAUAAUCUAAUAAAAGAUGUCUAUCUCUAAAGGGAAGACUAAAACUUUGUUCAGAGACAUUAGAAAAGACAAAAAGAAAUGGAGAAAUGUACCAUGUUCAGACUGUCUUCUUCACUCUGCUUCUUUUUAAAUACAUGUAUGCCUUUUAUUUAUUUAUUUAUUUGUUUAUUUAUUUAUGUAUUUAUUUAUUUAAGCUCUAUGCCCAACAUGGGGCUUGAACUCACAACCUUGAAAUCAAGAGUCACCUUCUCUACCAACUAAGCCAGCGAAGCACCCCUUUACUUUGCUUCUUAGUGCUCUGAAUACAGUACCCUGCUUGGAACCCAAGUCCUGGUGCCUCAGAGACCUUUCUGCCUCCAUUUCUUUGUUGCUGUAAACAAACACUUGUAUUAGAAAGCAAAACUAAAGAAACAGCUCCUGAUAGUCUUAGCACUGUUGUGUCCAUUCCUGGAAACAAGCUCACUGUCACCAGGUCUAGCAAGGACUGUACUGCGUCUACAUGGUAGACCCUGAUCUUUGAAAGUUCUGGGAAAGCCCAGCUCAUCUCCAAACAGAAGAAGAAUAGUCAACAUUUAUAGAUGGAUUCACUCCAUCCAAAUCACAUUCCUUCUUUUGACCUUUAGUACAAGCCUGAGAGGAAAGGAUUUGUAUUAUCCCAUUUCCUAUAUAAGAAUACUGAGGCAACCAAAGACCCACAGUCAGUCAUGAAUCCAGGGCCUUUGAUACCAAAUUUGAUGGAUUAUCUUCUAUAAAAACAAUGCAUUUCUUAGAGCAGCCCUGUCGUACCAUCAUCAUGGUACAUUCAUCAGGGCAAAUUCAAGGUCUUGAGUCUUUUGACUGAACAAAUCUUUUCCCUAUGCCUCUAUUCUCAAACAAUUGAGUUUCUGUAGGCAUUAUACUUUACACUUUAGGAAGGGAAGAGAGGGAGAGCAAGGAAAGCGAAGAGUAGGGACUUUACAGUAGUUUCCUCACAAAUCGCAAUUCGUUUUUAUAGUCAAGCCAAAACCUCCUUUCUCUUACCUGUGAAGAGAGAUAAUAAAUUUUUCUCUUUCUCAGUCUUUUUAGGAUUAAAGUGAAACAUGAAAAGGGCAUAGCACAAUGCCUAGCACAUAGUAUGUGCUCAGUAAAUGCUAGCUAUUGCUAUUGGCAGCUACUAUGUCACUAGAAGAUAAUCCUACAAGUUUUACAAUCAGAAUAUUUCCCAGAUCAGAGUAGAGGAAGCACAAUGCCAAACUGACUGCAGUCUUUUUUUCUUUCUUUUUUUUUUUUUUUUGCCAGGUCUUUUGUACUGUAUUUAAAGAGAUAUCCUUUCUCUGGAGAGCUAUAGUGGGGAAGAAGGCCCCCACAAACUAAGUGCUUUUGGUUCUCAGCAUGAGUUACAAAGGAAGCCAUAUUGUAUAAGACAUCUCCUUUGUUUAUUUGUUCAUUCUUUUAUUUUAUUUUAAUUUUUUUGCAAUAGAUCUUUAUUGAGGAGCCAGCAAUGUACUAGGCACUAUGCUAGUCAUUGAGAAUGGAGAAGAUUAUAUUGUAAGUUAGCACUACAAAAAAGGAACUCUGGGACGGUCUUCUCAGGCAUCACAGUUCUGGGGGUUCCUUUUGGGGAAGAGGAGGAGGUACACUGCCAAAUAUGGUGAAAAAUGCAUAUGCUUGGCAUCAGAGGGAUGGAAGUUUAAAGCAAGGUGCUGCUUACUUUAUGUGUAAACUUGAACAAAUCCUUCAUAUCUCUAGACCUCCAUUUCUUCAUCUGCUAAAUGGGAAUUAAAUACUUACCGUGAAGAAUUAUAAUGAGGAUCCUAUGGUGUCAGUUAAGUGAAGUGCCUGGCCCUUAGUGGCUCCUCCUUCUCAUGAAUUGAUGGGCUGUCUGUCCUUCUAACUUCUCCAUUCCAAGUUGCAUUUUUCUUUGUGGUUUCUUUUUCCCUUUAAGCCUGAUCUUAAUUUGCUGUAAAACCAGCUCUCAAACAUAUAAUAAUAAUAAAAUAAAUGGAGAAGUGGGUGGGACACAGAGUGUACUUUGCCCCCCAUCAGGAAGCCACCCUCCCACUCCUCUUCCCACACAGUCGUCAUUGUUUCCAGCACAAACUACUGGGUCUCAAAGGCCAGUCAUUCCUUAAUUGUCCAUAACCAAGAAUUUCAAGGCAUCUCUGAUUGGUACAUCAAAAGGAGCCCUUUCGGUGCAGGUGGACUGUUUUUACAUUUGCUCUUUAUCCUUCAGUAACUGGUCAGACUAUUCAGACGGAAAAAGGAUCUUGUAAAGAAGUUGACUCUAAAAGAAUGCUGAGUAUGUGCUUCUUGGGCUCUUGAUGCAUCAGGACAAAUGUCCUUUGUCCUCUGAAUAGAGAUGGCCCAGCUUCUUUGUGUCUAUUUGAACCCUGCUUUAAACCCCGAAAAAGUUGUUUUCUUCAUUUAUUUACUUAGUUGUUUAUUCAUUUACUCAGUAGACAUUUACUGACCACUAACUAUGUGCCAAACCUGUGCUAGAUCUGGGGGAUCUAUCAAUGAAAAAGAGACAGACUCAACCCCUACCCUCAGGCAGCUUACAUUCUACCAGGGCAGACAAACAACAACAACAAAAGUCAUCAAAUAAAUUAACAAGAAAAUUGUGAUAGGGGUGCCUGGGUGGCUCAGUCGGUUAAGUGUCUGCCUUCGGUUCAGGUCAUGAUCCCAGGGUCCUGGGAUCAAGCCCCACAUUGGGCUCCCUGCUCAGUGGGGAACCUGCUUCUCCUUCUCCCUCUGCCUGCCGCUCUGCCUACAAGUGAUCUCUCUCUGUCUGUCAAAUAAAUAAAUAAAAUCUUUUUAAAAAAUUGUGAUAGAUGAGUACUAUGAAGGAACUAAACAGAGAAAUGUAUAAAAGAGUAAUUAGAUAGAAUGGGAAGUGAAGAGUGGCCAGAGUGGGCCUUUCUGAGGAGGGUGUAUUUAAAGUGAGCCCUGAGGUGCCAGUUUUGUGAGUAGCCAGAAAAAAGCUUUCUCAGCAGAGGGAACUGUAAAUGCAAAAAUCUCUGAGUAGGGGGUAGGGCUUGGUAUGUGUAGAGAAAUUAAAGGGGUAUGAAGUAAGAGGGGAGAGGCUGACAGAUAACAAAUAAAGCAGGAUUUGAUAAGCCAGGAGUAUGGAUUUUACUUUAAGUUCAAUUCAUUAAAUAUUCAGCAAACGCUGAUUGAACGCCUAAUGUACACCAGGCACUGUUCUAGGCUCUGAACAUGCAGCAGUAACAUUGAAAGUAAAAUUUUUUUUUAAUAUAAAGUAUAGUUGACAAGCAAUUUUGCAUUAGUCCCACCUGUACUGAAAGUAACUUUUGAAAAUUACAUUAUAUCACAGAAGGCAGACAGUAAAUAAGUAAAAUAGCAUUUUUAGAUAGUGCUAGGGAGAAUAAUAAUUAAUUUAAAGAUUUUAUUUCCUUUUUAAAAUUUUAUUUAUUUAAUUUGAGAGAGAGAGAGAGAGCUCUUGCACACGUGUGUGUGUGCGGGGGUUUGGGGCAGACAGAGGGAGGGAAGAGAGAGAAUCUUAAGCAGGUUCCAUGCCCAGCAUGGAGCCUGAUGGAGGACUCAAUCUCACAAACCUGAGAUCAUGAUCCAAGCUGAAACCAAAAGUCAGAUACUUAACUGACUGAGCCAACCAAGUGCCACUUAAAGAUUUUAUUUAAGUAAUCUCUACACCCAGCAUGGGGCUUGAACUCACCCCCAAGAUCAAGAGUCUGAUGCUCUACAGACUGAGCCAGCCUGGCACUCCAGGGAGAGUAUUUUAACAAACUAAGAAAAGGAGUUAAGAAGUAUAGGGUUGCAAUUUUAGAUAAAAGUGGCCAGACAAGUCCUCACUGAAAAAAAUUAUAUAUUUUUAAAGAUUUUAUUUAUAUGAUAGAGAGAGUGCGAGCUGGGGAGGGGGUAAUGAGGGGGAUGUGGAGGAGGAGAGCGAGAGGACAAGCAGACUCCCUGCUGAGCACUGAGCUCAAUCCCAGGACCCCAAGAUCAUUACCUGAGUUGAACAAAGUCAGACACUUAACUGACUGAGCCACCCAGGCGUCCCUGAAAAAAAUUACACUUAACUAAAGAUUUGAAGUGUUUCUACGCUGUCCAUGGGCAAAGCACUCCAGUAUUUAGAGGUCAGGGAAGAUGAAAAGGAAAGGAGAAAGACAAGAAGCAUGUAGAAUAGUAAAAGGAAAGUCAAGUAAAUGUCCUGGAAGCUGGAAAGUGUUUUAGGGAGGAGAGACAUCAACGGUGUAAAAUGCUGCAGAUAGUAUAUAAAGAUGCGGACUGAGGCGUGAUCAUUGGGUUUAGUGACGGGGAGGUUAUUGGUAACCUUGAGAAGAGCAGUUUCACUGCUGCGUGGAAGCAAAACCCUGUAGGAGUAUGUCAGGGAGAUGGUUGGAGGCAGGGGACUGGAGACCCUGACUCUAGAUACUUCAAGGAGUUUUGCCAUAAUGUAAGGGAAUGAAACGGGGCAGUGGCCACAGGGGAACUUAGAUCAAAAGAGAUUUUCCUCUAACUGCUUUUACUUUUAUUUUAUUUUUUUCCUCCAACGUUUUUAAAUCUUCAAACCUACAGAAAAGUUGGAAGAACAGUACAAUACCCAUACACCCUUCACCUAGUUGCAGCAAUAGUUAACAUUUUGCCACCUUUGCUUUCGCUCGAGAGAGAGGGUUUUGUUUUUUUUUAAACAUUCUUUCAAACUGUGAAACACAAACAUGUACAGGAUAGUCCACAAAACAACAUGUAUAACUCAGGGAAUGAUCACAAAGCAAACAUCCAUGUAAUCCCCACCAGUAUCAGGAAAAUAGAGCACUGCUAGCAUCCCCAAAGCCUCCUUAUGCCCCCUCCCACCCAUCAAGAUGUAACCAUCAUCCUGAAUUUUCAUAGUGAUAACUUCUUGCUUUUCUUUAUAGUUUUAUAUAUUGCCUUUCCUUUUUUUAGCAUACGGAUAUCUAAUGACCCAACACCAUUUAUUGAAAGACUGUCCUUUCCCCACUGUUUUGAAGUGCCACCUUUGUUAUAAAUCAGGUGUUCAUUUGGCAGUUCCUUUCUGGGCUUUGUGUUUUAUUCUAUCGGUCUAUUUUCUUUCCUUGUACCAUUAAUAUACUGGCUUAAUUAUUAUAGCUUUAUAAUAAGUCUUAAUAUCUGCUGGAGCAAUUACUUCCAUCUUGUUCUUUUUCAGAAAUGUCUUGGCUAUUAUUGGCCCUUUUCAUGUCUCUAUAAAUGUUAGGAUCAGCUUAUAGAGUUUAUAUAAAUAAAACAAAAGUCUUCUUGGGAUUGGAAUUGCAUUGAAUCUACAGAUAAUAAGGGGCAAAUUCACAUCUUUAAAAUCAUUCAAUCUGGGGUGCCUGGGUGGCUCAGUUGGUUAAGCGACUGCCUUCGGCUCAGGUCAUGAUCCCGGAGUCCCGGGAUCGAGUCCCACGUCAGGCUCCCUGCUCAGCAGGGAGUCUGCUUCUCCCUCUGACCCUCCUCCCUCUCAUGCUCUCUGUCUCUCAUUCUCUCUCUCGCAAAUAAAUAAAAUCUUAAAAAAAAAAUUAAAAAAAAAUCAUUCAAUCUUCCAAUCCAUGAACAUAGUAAAGCCAUCCCUUUAUUUAGUUCUUCAACUUCUCUCAAUAAAGUUUAUGCUUUUCUAUGUAGAGGUCUUGCAGAUUUGUGUGUAUGUGAAUUUAUUCCUAAGUAUUUGCAAUUUCUAAAUGUUAUCUUUUUAAAAAUUUUCAUUCUUGUUGUUGUUGGCAUAUAGAAAAUAGAAUUGAUUUGUUCAUUGGCUCUUUAUCCAGCAACCUUCUUAAACUCACUUUUUUGUUUUGUUUUGUUUUUUUAUUAUGUUAAUCACCAUACAUUACAUCAUUAGUUUUUGAUGUAGUGUUCCAUGAUUCAUUGUUUGCAUAUAACACCCAGUGAUUUCUCCCCUUCAUUCUUCCCCUCCUGCUAUCUUCUUCUUCUUCUUCUUCUUUUUCUUCUUCUUCUUCUUCUUUGUUUUUUUAACAUAUAAUAUAUUAUUUGUUUCAGAGGUACAAUCUACGGCCAUCCCACCCUGAGCACGCCCGAUCUUGUCUGUUUCAGAGGUACAGUAAUCUCUAGGCCCAACAUGGGGCUCAAACUCACGAUCCUGAGAUCAAGAGUCACAUGCCCUACCCAUUGAGCCAGCCAGGCACACCAGAAACAGUUCCUGGACCUGCCUCUUCAUUCCACUUCUCUAGCUAGCUGUGCUAAUUCAACAUAAAGAAAAUGAUGCCUAGAGAUGUGAAUAACUUGUCAAGGUCACAUCGUUACCAAGUAAGAUUAACAAAGGGAGAACACACGAGCACAAGCAGGGGGAGCAGCAGCAAGUGGGAGAGGGAGAAGCAGGCUUCCCGCUGAGCAGAGAGCCUAACGUGGGACUCCACCCCAGGACCCCAGGAUCAUGACCUGAGCUGAAGGCAGUCGCUUAACAGAGCCACCCAGACGCCCCAGUACAGUGGAGUUUUCCAGAGCCUACAUGUUGUGUGUUACUGCAACAAAAUGAACGCAGAAGCAGACAUAAAAAUCCAGCUGUCUCCUAUUAACCCAGGCAUUAAAGAGAUUUACAAAAAUAUAAACCAGACCACUUUUCUUAUUGAUUUUUUGUGUGUUGGAAAACAGAGUUAUUUUAAAAAAAUGUUGUUUAUAUUCAACGUAAAGGGUUUAUAAUCGCUAUUUUUAAAUGAAUAAAUAUUUUUUAUACUUUCUAAGUUUUAAUUUCUAAAACGAUAAACAUUGAUAGAUGUAAUGCAUAUAAACUAAAGCUGUUUGGGGUCCUCAAUCAUUUUUAAGAGUGUAACAUGGUCCUGAGGCUAAAAAGCUUGAGAACUGCUGUUUUAUUGCACAGAUGUACCUUAAUUUAACCCAUUCCCUGCUAAUGGACAUUUCAGUUAUUUUCAAUUAGUUGCAACUUCAAGCCAUGCCAAAAUGAAUACUCUUCUACAUAUUUUGUUUCCCACAUGUGUGAGAAAAUCCAUCUUGUGUUCUUAGAAGUGGAAUUGCUGGGUCAAAUAUACUAUGGUAAAGUCAUACAGAGUAUAUCAUCUCAUUUCAUCCUCGUAAUAACCUUAUGAAGUGAGAGUUGUCAUUAAUUCCUUUCUAUGUAUAAGAAAAUGGGGACUUAAAAAAGUUAGAUGACUGGGGCGCCUGGGUGGCUCAGUGGUUAAGCGUCUGCCUUCGGCUCAGGUCAUGAUCCCAGGGUCCUGGGAUCGAGCCCCGCAUCAGGCUCCCUGCUCAGCCAGGAGGCCUGCUUCUCCCUCUCUCACUCCCCCUGCUCAUGUUGUGUCUCUCUCUGUCAAAAAAAUAAAUAAAAUCUUAAAAAAAAAAAAAAAAAGAAGUUAGAUGACUGUCUUAGAGUCGUCAGGCUAAGAAGCUGCUGCAGACAGGAGUGAAACCAUUUUAUCAGACUUUGAACCACUAUUCUGAGCUAUGGUUUCUCCAAGCAAUACAUGUACAUAUUCAGUGAUCUGAUAACAGGCUCUAUUCUUGCCUUGGCCUAAAUUAUUUCCUGGCACAGAACAGUCUUGGAAUUAGAUGAACUGGGCCGCUCAAAGCAAAAGUCAGUACCAGAAAACUCCUUAAGUGAUAAGAAGAAUAGAGCUUUUUAUUUUGACUCACAGAAUUUCAGCCACCAUACAGUCUGGGAAAUUAAUUUUAGACAGUGAUGCAUUUAAUUAAAACUAAUUCAUGUAAUUCUCAGAGUAAACUUUAUAAACAAACCUACAAAAUAACAUGAUUUUUAUCCACUUUACCCCCCAUGAAACUUACACUGUACUACAUCAUUUUCCCCUUAAACACACAAAAAAGAGAACCCUAAGUAUUUUUAAAGAAAUGUAAUUUAAUUUUUACCAAACCUGGCACUGCCAGAAUUAUCUUUUUGAUACAAACAUCUGGCCACUCUCCCAUAAAAAUCCUUCAGUGGACUCCCAUUUCUUGUACUAUAAAGCUCAUAAGAGAUUACUUAUGAUUGGUUCUUAUAAACUCUCCUACACACAUUUUGAUCUCUUUUGAAAUACAGAUCUCAAAGAUCUAUUUCCUUUGAACAGGUCUCUUCAAACAGGUGGAUAUAUAGUGAACCUAGCGAAACUUCCCUUACAUGGGCCAUAAAAUUUUAUAUUUAUAAUAUUGUGUUCAUUUUCUCCACUGUUGUAUAUGCUUUGAGCCCCACAAAACCUUGAUCUACCUCUGGGUUGGUUUUCUUUUUUCUUUUUUUUCCUGUUUUCUUCCUUAAUCUAGGUACUCCAAUUCACUCCUGUCUGAUUUAGAUGCUUCUUUCAUGCUCCCAGUUUAUGCUGCUAUCUUUUCACACUGUAUGGUAUGACUCUUGUCAUCCUGUAUGGUAAUUGUUGGUUUAAUUGUUUAUUUCACCCAGCAGACUAUGAGCUCCCUGACAGCAGGGGUCAUGCUGAAUGAACAAACGAAAAAACGAACAGCUUUUUUUUGUGAGAAAAUCUAUUUAUACCUUGUUAUGAAAUAAUAUUUGGGAGGUUUUCUGUUACUAUUCAUUUGCUACACGUUCUUUUCCUUUUUCAUCCACAACUGGAAGGAAAUGACAAAUGGUUAAGAUAAAUAUAUAGGGGCAAAAUUUAAAUUGAGAAAUUAUUUCCAUUCAGUCAUAUUUUUCUGAAAAUGUGAAAAAGAUUGCUAAGACUAGAGUUGCUGACAAAAUAAAAAUUUUAAGCCCCCAAACUAUGAACUGGUUUUCACAUCACUUGAAUUGUCAGUCUCCCUCCCUGAUAAUCCUUAUCUCUAAACUCUGUAAUGUCAAGUGCAACCUCUAUUGUAGGUUCUCAGGUAAUCCUGCAUUUGCCUGUUUGAACCAGAGGAACACAACAGGGACAAGCAAGGUGAAAUUGAAAUCAGAAGCUCUGGAUCAGUCAACAAAUAUUCAUUGAAUGUCUGUUACAUGCCAGUUUUAGAGUCUCCUUUUGAGCUAACACCAGAAUGGCUCUAUUCUUGUGAUAGUUAUCUUCCUAAGUCAUAAACUUGAAAAACAAAUAUUUUGAACUAUAUAGUUUUAGGACUGCUCAUGAAAGAAUGUCCAUAUUACCUUGAGUUUAAAAAGCAAGUAGCAGGGGCGCCUGGGUGGCUCAGUCGUUAAGUGUCUGCCUUGGCUCAGGUCAUGAUCCCAGGAUCCUGGGAUUGAGUCCCGCGUCGGGCUCCCCGCUCUGCGGGAAGCCAGCUUCUCCCUCUCCCCCUGCUUGUGUUCCCUCUCUUGCUGUGUU
Molecule: long non-coding RNA, 19864 nt
Organism: Mirounga angustirostris (Northern elephant seal)
Lineage: Eukaryota; Metazoa; Chordata; Mammalia; Carnivora; Phocidae
Exons: 7
Source: RefSeq, a predicted model, not a curated record